Molecule: long non-coding RNA, 404 nt
Filed under: Elaeis guineensis (African oil palm)
Lineage: Eukaryota; Viridiplantae; Streptophyta; Magnoliopsida; Arecales; Arecaceae
Description: long non-coding RNA (EGUI_LNC071481)
Source: RNAcentral
GGGCGACCUGAAGAGUCCUUUCGGAACUCCCACCAGGAUGUAAUCCUAAGCGUCGCACCAUAAUAGUCCGCGAACGAUCAAUCCUAUGCCACGGUGAGUGGGACACGUGGUGGGUACUGGUUGGCCUAGGGAUACCUGCCACCAUAACUGUGCCAGGCCCUGCUGCUUAUUUAAGCCCCCGCCUUUCCUUCAGGGGCUUCACUUCGCCUGAGGGCCGAUGCCUUUCUUCUACCCAAGAGCUUAGCCACUCAGCCACUCCAUCGGUGCCCUUCCCAACUCCGAGCAUCCUUCGUGCCAGUCUUUGCCAUCUCCGUCGGCUCUCCACCGUCUUCAGUCCCCCGAGUCUCUCCGAGGGAUUCUCCCAUCAGGGCCUCCGCCCUAGAGGCCAACCUCAAGAGGAUGCC